ACGAACGCUGGCGGCAUGCCUAACACAUGCAAGUCGAACGAGACCUUCGGGUUUAGUGGCGCACGGGUGCGUAACGCGUGGGAAUAUGCCCUUGGGUUCGGAAUAACAGUUAGAAAUGACUGCUAAUACCGGAGGAUGACGUAAGUCCAAAGACUUAUCGCCCAAGGAUGAGCCCGCGUAGGAUUAGCUAGUUGGUGGGGUAAAGGCCCACCAAGGCGACGAUCCGUAGCUGGUCUGAGAGGAUGAUCAGCCACACUGGGACUGAGACACGGCCCAGACUCCUACGGGAGGCAGCAGUGGGGAAUAUUGGACAAUGGGCGAAAGCCUGAUGCAGCAAUGCCGCGUGUGUGAUGAAGGCCUUAGGGUUGUAAAGCUCUUUUACCCGAGAUGAUAAUGACAGUAUCGGGAGAAGAAGCUCCGGCUAACUCCGU
Molecule: ribosomal RNA, 431 nt
Filed under: uncultured bacterium
Lineage: Bacteria
Description: bacterial SSU rRNA
Rfam family: Bacterial small subunit ribosomal RNA
Source: RNAcentral